This 410-nucleotide unclassified non-coding RNA is filed under the name Hevea brasiliensis (rubber tree). The record is from RNAcentral. Lineage: Eukaryota; Viridiplantae; Streptophyta; Magnoliopsida; Malpighiales; Euphorbiaceae.
GUGUAUUUCCAUAUCAUAGCCUUUAAAAAGUUUGUCCUGGAAAGUACUCGUGAAGCCAUCAAACCCAAGAUAGCCUAUCAUCAGAGAAACUCCCCAGACCGUGCUUUCCCUUCCUCUAUUGAAGGGACUGAUGUCAUCUGCACCCUGAUACAGAAUAAAUAAUGAACAACCCACAGUUACUAGGAAUGCCAAAAGAUAGUCCUGUCCUUGGUACUUCUUUUGCAUAAUGAUAGCACCCCAGAUCAUUACAGGUAUCAUCUUGGCACAUUUUGCCAGGGUUUGAACAGGAAAACUAACAUACUUGAGAGCCUCAUACUGACAAGUAGUUGUAAGGAUGUUAGAAACAGAAACAACACCAUAUUUAUAGAGUGGAGCUACUGGGUCCAAGGCCUUCUUACUUGCCAGUAAAA